GCCCAUUGCGCUGGGCAGAGGGGCCGGCGCGGUUCCCCAUUUCUGCACUCGGGGCAGGGCCCGGGGGCCGCAGCCGCCAAAAACCGCUUACUCCCCCAGGGUUUCUCCGGAGUUCUACUCACUCAGGUCCCCGCCCCUCACACCCAGCCCGGGCCGCGCUUCCCACCCGAUAGUACGUACCAGGCGUCGGCUCCCCGGCCUCCAGGCAGUAGGGUGGCCGUGUCAGGGCCCCGUCCGGAGACGACGGCCCAGGGACACUCAUGUCCCUCCAGCUGGGAACACAGGGAAGAAGCAAACGUGUGGCUCGUCAGAAGCAAGGCGGCACCUAACGACUCCAGCGGCUGGCCGGACAGAAGAGAUUGUCGCACCCGGAAGUGACGGGGGCGAAAAAACUGCGGGCUUCGAUCACGCGCUCGAGAGUUGGCUCUGCCCCAUGGCGUUGUGGGGACCCCGCGCUGAUAUCGUCGUCUGGCCCCGGACGCAGUGUCAGCGGACUCAGCAGUGUGGGGCUCGAGUCCCUGCGAUCCGAUUGGUGGGAGCUGGGGGAGGACGGUGGUCGGUUUGGGCUGCUCACGGGGUGGGUCACGAAGACCGGAAGAGCGUUGUCUUUGUUGGACGCGGGGGAGCCGUCAGGCUUUCUUCACUGAAGCUAGGGAGAAAACAGGACUUUCAGCCCUCACGCGGCACAGCUUUUUAGUGUUGUCUCCGUGUUUAGGGAAAACCUUCAGAACAGGGAGUGCUCGCUUUCCCUGCGAUUUGGACCAUUAAAAAAUUCGAUGCCUAGGUCUCUGCGAGCCUCAGCCUUGCUAACUAGGGUUUUGCCACUUUUCCGGGCUCCCCUUGUUAAGUGUAGAUGAAAGAUUUAAGCCCUCCGUUGCAGCAGCUACUGAACAAAUUCGGCCAAGUUAUCAGAAACUGCACUUGCUGAGAUCCUGUGGAAUGAUCUCAUGAAUUCUGUUGGAAAACACUUAGAAAAGGGCAUAGGCAGCUUUGGACCAAAGAAAACGAUUUAGCUCUGCCAUCUCUAGCUUAUACCCUCUCAUCUCAACUGUAAUGGUGGCCUCCUAAUGUUGCUCCCCAAUUAUGCCUGUUCAGUUUUCUCAGCUGCAACCAAAGCUUAUUUCAAAAAAAUAAGAAUUUGCAAGACUCAGAAACUUGCACUGGUUCCCCAUUGCCUUUAUCAGUGCAUUCACACACUUUCCUCUUUGGGCCUCUUUUCCUCUUAGUAUUAGCUCCUUCUUAUUAACUCUGGUAGGCAGAAUACUAGCCCCUCAAAGAUGUCCACAGCCUGAACACCAGAAGCUGUGAAUAUGUUAGCUUGCAUAGCAAAUGGGAAUUAAGGUUGUUAAUUACCUGGUGUUGAAAUAGAUUAUCCUGGAAUCGCUUUAACCAGGGAGGCAGAGGUUGCAGUGAGCUGAGCAGCUCCACUGCACUCCAGCCUGGGCGACAGGGCGAGAUUCCAUCUUAAAAAAAAAACAUUAUCCUGGAUUGUUCCAGUGGGCUGAUUGUAAUCAUAGGGCCUCCAAAACUGCAAAAGAGAGUCAAGAGUGACAAGUAACUAUGAAGAAUGAUUAGAGAGAUACAACAUUGUUGGCUUUGAAUAUAGAGGAAGGGAGCCUCCAGCAUUGUGGGUGACCUCCAGAAGCUGGAACUGGUAAGGAAACAUUCCCCUGAAGCCUCUCUAAUGCUCUGAUGACACCUUGAUUUUAUCCUCAUGUGAUCAAUGUUGGACUUCUGACCAACAGAACUGUGAAAUAAUCUGUGUCUUAAGUUUGUGAUAACUUGUUAUAACACCAAUAAUAAUGUACGGUAUACCCUUCAAGACAUUCUUUAUUCCAUGUGAGCAUUCUCCUAAAAUUAUGCCCUUUCAUGUCUGCAGUGCUCUUGCCUAUGCUUCAACCUGAAAUAUUCUAUCCUUUUGUAAACCAAAAAUAAAAUUAUAAACCCCACAACUGACUGAUGGACCCCCUGCCCCUCACCUCUUGGCCAAGGGCAUUCCAAAGUAAACCUGAAAAUCUAGUUAUUCCAUCAUCUAGAUGGAAGUGGGGAUGGGGGGGUUAGUCCCGGGGGUGGGUCGGACAUGGCUCAUUAUACCCUCCUCCCUUUGGAAUUCAGGCUGAGCUGAACAGCAUUCACAUGAAAACAGAUCUUAAGACUGCCAGACUUUUUCUAGCUUUUCUAGAACUUUAUUUUUGACACCAAGCCAGCCUGACUCUAGUAUAGCAUCACGACAGAUAGCAGGCCCUGAAGGAAAUUGAAUUAUUUAACCCCAAAAUAUAUUCCUUUGACAUAUUUUUAAAUGGCCCUGCAAAGCUGUAUCUUGUGGGGGAAAACCUACAGUCUGUAGAAAAGCCCUGUUCCUUUCCAGGUGUUUUCCCUUACCCAGGAGGGAAUUAACCAAGUCUGGCACCUUUUUAGGUCUGAUAAGAGCUCUACCAGAGGCUUCAUCUGCAUAAUAAAACCUUGAUCUCUGCCAGGGACAGUGGCUCACGC
RNAcentral lists this long non-coding RNA (2493 nucleotides) under Homo sapiens (human). RNAcentral describes it as "non-protein coding lnc-SLC30A4-4:2". The record is from RNAcentral. Lineage: Eukaryota; Metazoa; Chordata; Mammalia; Primates; Hominidae.